This is a long non-coding RNA of Cephus cinctus (wheat stem sawfly), 5383 nucleotides long. RefSeq lists it as uncharacterized. NCBI's taxonomy places the organism in Eukaryota, Metazoa, Arthropoda, Insecta, Hymenoptera, Cephidae. The transcript is spliced from 6 exons. The record is from RefSeq and is a predicted model, not a curated record.
UACAUUAUUAAAACACAGUAAACAUUUACAGUAAAUUUCUUUAUCGCCAUUUUUGUUACGUCCGGAUAAAUUCUCGGAAGAUAUAUGUAUACUCUUCAGGUAUACCAGGUUAUUCAGCCCAAACGCAUCACCUGAAAUCGUUUUACCAUAAGAUUCAAAUGGGCACGUUAACUUUUGGUGGUUUGUUUGUCUGCAUAAGUCUGUAUAUAUUCAACAGUAUAUCCCAGUAGAUAUUCUUGUUGGUAACUUGACAAUUGUCAUUAAACAUAAUGUAGACAAUAAAGGCUUGGCGGCGCUGUAUUCGAUGCUUUUAACACGGGAUCUACGACUUUACCCGAGUAAUUACAGUUUUCGUCAUUAUCUCUACCUGAAAUCUACCUCCAUGAGGUUAUGAACGUGUGAGGUUGUGUUCUAGGAACAGAAAGCUAUAUGCAGCCGAUGCGAAGGAAGCAGGAUAAAACAAAGGAGAGCAUUCAAAAAUUCCAGCUUAACAAAGAGAGUAGGAUUAUUUGGAACAAUAAUAAUCACCACUGGACAGUUGCUCAUCGAUAGUGGAGUAUGAAAAUAAAAAAUAACAAUAGCACACAAAUUAAGAGGAAUUGGUUUUCAAGUCGAGGAAAUAUGGAUUGGGACAUUACUUUUAACUGGAUGUAAAGUUUAACAAGGAAACAAAUGGAGAUAACAACAUAACAUUAUAUUCGAGGGGCCACCAAACCCGUUGUGAAAUUAGACCAAGAUGCUACUCAUGCAAUAAGAGUGGACCACAACCCAGCGAUUGGUGCAUUGAUUUAAGCACAUCAUCUCACAUGACUUGACGGAGUGAUUUAAUCCCUUUGAAAAAAAAAUCUGCAGUUCACAUCACUACAGCAAAUAAAGUGAAGCUGUCAGCACAAGAAAUCGGUGACACAAUAAUUACAAUAAAAAGGUACGGGGAGCCAAUAAAAUUAAAAUAAAAUAUGUAAUCCUUAUGUCUGGCGUUGCUGCAAAUCUACUCAACAUAGAUCAAUGGCAUAUAGAGUUGACACGCCUAAACGGAUGAAGGCGGAAUGCUAUGGCAUCGGAGAUUCGGGCAUCGAAACAAGAAAGGACUUGAAAUGCUGCGGAAACCACUAAAAUACAAUUCAGCGAUAGAAAUAAGGAAGCAUGCGAGGCGUGGGUCUAAGGAAAACACCAAAGGAAGCCGUUUAGAGGUCAUGAAAAGCGUGCGGAGGGGAUCCUGGACCUUGUGCAUUCAGAUAUUUGUGGUCCUAUAGAACGGAAUUCCAUAGGAGAGUCGAGGUAUUUAUUAAGUUAAUUGGCGCGCGACAUUCAUGUCCAAAACUUUAUUCAAGAAUAAAAACAUUAAAUAUUUGUGAUAAUAUUGCAACGAAAUAUCCUUUGAAUUUUUCUUUUUAAUAUUUAUGAAAUAUUUAUAUAUUUGUUACUUUCUCCAUUUUUCCAUUGGUUUUUUGUUCAUUUGAGAUUUUAUAUAAGAUUUUCGUCUAAAGUAAUAAAUAAUGAAUAUACGAAAACCAUCGGAUAUGAUUUUACAAUCCAAAUAUAAUAAAAUUCUGCAUUUCCUUCUUCAAUUUAUCGUCGAUGAUAUCAAAUUAUUUCAUACGUUUGCGCGCGUUCUACUCCAGGCACAUAACUUGGAUUUAAGGGCACUACUACCACGCCGUUCACCACAGUUUGCUUGUCCGACAAAAUUUUGACGAAUUUUUCGUUUUAACUAUUAAUGUUUUGGAAACGAAACGGGAAAGAAUUUUGAAAUUUUUUACGUGCAUCUUUUUAUAUCAAUUCAUUAUAUAUAUGUUUCACCAUCCAACGACUGGUUUAGAUGAAAAAAAUGCAAUGUGUGUGCAGUAUACUUACUACGUAGGGAAUUCAUGUAAAAACUAUAAAUUUUGAAACGUUUUCCCCAUACUUCUGAACGGUCGAUCUUAAUAAAAUUAGGCUCAUUUUAAAGGUACUAUUUCAAAGAAUUAGGCAUACAAUUUUUGAAGAAAUGCAACGAAAAUUAUUUUACACGACACUACCUUAACCAUCAUAGACGAUUGAACGCGUAAAGUAUUUAUUUAUACCAUGAAACACAAAAGUGAAGUUACUGAAAAUAUUUUUAAAAAAUGUAAGGAAAAUCAAACAGGCAGAAAAAUCAAGGUUCUAAGGCCAGACAGUGGGACGGAAUAUGUGAAUAGAGUUUCAAGAAAUGCUACAAGAAUCUGGAAUUCAACAUCAGAAGACAAUACCGUAUAGUCUCUAGCAAAACGGUCGCGCGGAAUGAUUCAAAGGACGAUUUUACAGCGCGCAUGGACUAUAUUGUUCGAGGUCAAGUUAUCAAAGGAGUAUUGGGCAGAAAUGUAUGUCACUGCGGUCUAUUUAAUAAAUAGAUUGCUUGCAAAAGCAAUUCCAGGUAAAACACCUGAGGAAGUUUGGUCUGGUGUAAAACCAGAUUUAAGCCACGCAAGAAUAUUCGGUUUCAUGCCGUUGAUGUACAUACUAAGAGAGAAGAAAAAAUUUUGAUUCAAAAUCGAACGAGAACAUAUUUAUUGUCUACUAUGAAGAUUCAGUGGGUUACAAACUCAUCGACCCUAUAAGCAAAAUGAUAAGAAGUCGAAACUUCAUUUUUUUUUAGAAAAAUCAGUAAAUAAAAAACAAUUAAAAGAAAAAGAUUCUGCGGGAACUUCAUCCUUCGUACCGAUGAUAGAAGAGUUUUUGCCUGAAGAAACAAUUGAAGAGUGUCCUGAAGAAAUCGUCAAAAAUAAAGUAGCUGAAGAAACGGUCAAGAAAAUUCUCGGAGAAUCUCAUGAAAAGUGGUUUCCCGAUAGCGAACCACCAUCGAAAAUACCAGGGCGGCAAAGAUGAACAACAGGGGGUGAGAAAAUCAACGCGUACAAUUAAGCCUGGACAAAGAUCAUGAUUCGUGUCAUGUCUAGCUUAUGAUCGGCACUUGUCGGACCCGCAGACCGCAAAAAAAACGAUGAAUAGUCCGGACAAGGAUUUCUGGGUUCGAGAAGAAGAAAAAUGACUCAUCAAAACUUGUACGUGGGAGCUGGCGGAUUUGCCACCUAAAAGAAAACUGUUAGAUACUAGAUGGAUAUUCAAGACUAAAAUGAAAGCUGACGGAUAAAUUGAACGACACAAGGCAAGAUUGGUAGUGCGUCGGUGGGCUCGAAGUUAAGGUAUAGAUUAUACUGAGACGUAUUCACCUAUAAUGAGAUAUAGUUCUCUACGUUUUUUGUUUGCACUAGCAGUGUUGUCGAACAUCUGGAUGUCAUGACCGUUUAUUUACACGGAGACUUCGAAGGGGAGAUUUUUUUACGACCGCCACGGGAAUUGAUAGAGAAUCAGGAAAGGUAUGGAGGUUGAUAACAAGGGAGCCAUUGACAUAACUGAUAAAUUAAGAGAGAAGUCGAAGGGAGGGCGAGGGUAUGUCGCUUAAUGUAGGAGAGAAGGGUCAAUGAAACAAGAUAGGUGAAGCUGUAGUAUUACCUCGAAUGUUUCUCAAAACUGCAUACGCAAGUAGCUACGAGGUAAUGUUAUUGUGCACGCAUCUCAAAGAAUCGGAAAUUAGCACCGAUGACAAUGAGUGAACCGGUACAAAGAAACCAGGACCGUCGAAGAUCUUUUAGAUAGGAGGAAUCAUCCUAGGUACACAUUAAAGUAAGCGCAAAAGGUACUGGCCAGAAAGCGUACAGAAGUCAGUCAGUACCAUCAAGCGUCGCCUGAUUGUUGCUGGAUACGGAUAAAGAAACAAUGGUCAAACCUUUUUUGAAACCAAAAAACCUACAAAAAUGACUUAAUUGGGCGAAAUAGAACAAUGAACGUAACUGGUCCAACGUCAUCUUUCUGACGAAGCCUCUUUUUGGACAUGGACUUCGAGGACAUGUGCUAUGGACGUUCUGUAAAGCACCCCACCCCGGAUAGUCACAACUGGAUACUUCAAGAAGACAAUGAUCCAAAACAUUGGAGCCGUCUUUGUACCGCGUGAAAAGCCGAAAACAAUAUUGUGACCUUAAAUUGGCUCUCGCAGUUACCUGACACAAAUCCGAUGGAAGAUAUCUGGUCGACCAUGAGGAUGAAACUUUGAGAGAGAUGUAUAUUUACUUUUAAGCAGCUAUCUUAUUAUAUUUGCAGCAUUUAGAAAUUAUUUUUGGCACUCCGGACCGAAGACCUCGAUGCCGCCAGACUAUAAUCAAUAAUAAUGGAAAUUGGACGUUAUAUUAGGUACAUGCAUUCUAAUGCAUGUAGUGUACUCUAAGAUUAUAAGAUUGAUUUCUAAAACUAAAUUUAUUUCUAGAAAUUUUAACCUGUACGAUCUUGUACCACAGACUGUAUAUUACCGUUACCAUUCUUUUAAAUUAUUACAAAAUAUAGCUAGACCAGACAUUCCGAAAUAACGAGAUCUUAUCUCAAUUGGGAUAAUCAUCGUUAUAUGAGAUGGUUAAUAAAAAAUUUUUUAUUAGCUGCCAUAUUUGUGUCGUGUUUAUCGUCUUAAAUAAUCCUCCGUUUUAAAUCCCAGUAUAAUAAAACCUUGUAUGUACAUAGAUUCAACCUCAAACCAAAAGGUUGUAAUAGCGAGGUUGCGUAACCCACACCCACCAAGGAUUUAUGUAUAAUGUAACAGCUACGAUGGCCGAACGAAAGAUCGACAUGACAGCUAUCGUAAUAUAAGUAAUUUAACAUUACAGCUUGCAUGAUUAAACGUCCAUACUGUUCACCAUAAGCACUAGGCGCUGGAAGUCAGGUGACAGAAACGGCAAUCAUCCUUAUAAUGAGUAUAGGAUACAACUUUGCAUGGCCGUCAGUAAGUCUUGUUAAAAUUAAAGCUAAUGACUCCCCGGUAAUGUUGACAGCCAAGCAGGCUUCGUGGGCCGUAAGUCUUCAAGUUUUUGGAGCAAUUUUUGGGCCUAUUAUGGCUACGGCCAUCGUUGGCAUCGGCCAAGAUUGGCAGGAAAAUCUCUUUUACUCACUGCUAUUCCAUUAUUAACAUUAGGAAUGUUAAUCGUCAUCGCCAGGACUUACAUUUUACUCUUUACAUACUUACCUCUAUAUAGCCAGGUAUUGUAUAAUCAUCAAUUAGGAUAUUAGAUCAUUUUUUAAAAAAUAUUAUUAUAAUAACUAAUGAUAAUAACUCUUGUGAUUUUAAUCAUUGCACUUAGAAAAGUUCAAAGCAUUUAAUAAUAAUUAUAUAUUAUAAUUACACAGACAAUACGCAAAUCCUAAAGUCAUCUAUAAGAUUCCAAAAAGACAACUUCUAAUGCAUAUAUGUGUUAAAGAUGACUUUUGCACAGUAUAUUUUCUGGGUAUAUGUAUAUCGCCAGUAUAAAAGAAUCAUUGAGGUUUCGCAUUAUAGUAUCAGCAAGAUAAACAGAUGAUGAAUAAUAAAAUUAUUAAUAAUCAA